This 708-nucleotide long non-coding RNA is filed under the name Cotesia glomerata. RNAcentral's name for it is "uncharacterized LOC123259134". Lineage: Eukaryota; Metazoa; Arthropoda; Insecta; Hymenoptera; Braconidae. The record is from RNAcentral.
AGUUCGAUUUGAUGAUCAAGAGCUUUCAUUACCUAUAAAUUCCAAUGGGAAUUUAAAAUUAUCUAUUGAAGCAAUAUUUCCCUCAAGCAUCUGGGUUAACCUAUUCUGCAAAUAAUCAAAAAUGUGGCUUGCCUAUAUUGAAUCGGAAGAAAUUUUAAUUAACCGUAAAAUUGAGUAUUAUGAUGUACACGUUUGACAAGAUUUAAAAAGUUCCAUCUCAAGCAAGAAAAGAAAACUAGUCCAUGAAAUGAUCAAUAAAAUCCAACUUAGCCAAGAAGUAAAUUCUUCUAAAACUCACAUGACGAAAAUGAAGAACAAGUGGGCUGAUUGUUCUACUGUAGUCUCAGCACAACCUGCAUUAAAAAGAGUACGACUUGGAUGGCUAGUAAAAAGAGGAGAUCGUUAUGAGCAUAAAUGAAGAAACCUAUAGGUGGAGUCAGAGAAGUACCUUUAGAAGUAGGCAAGAAAUAUUUAGUUAGUGAUAUAAAAAAAAAUUGCGAUAGAGAAGUUUUCUUGCAAUAGCGAAGUAUCAUUUCAAAAUUCGGAUGUACGUCUUGGUCUUUUUGAUCGCACUAUACUAACCAGCUUUAGAGACAGCAAGGGUAUUUCCUGUUACUUGUGGACUUUUCUAAAAGAGCAAAAAUCGAGAUUAUUUACUUUGUAUAUAAUAACGUCUCCAAAAGGAUGUGCUGAGACAUGUGAACAACU